RNAcentral lists this ribosomal RNA (429 nucleotides) under Bacteroidota bacterium. RNAcentral's name for it is "Bacteroidetes bacterium partial 16S ribosomal RNA". It matches the Rfam family "Bacterial small subunit ribosomal RNA", at positions 355 to 776 of the family's 1533-position model. Lineage: Bacteria; Pseudomonadati; Bacteroidota. The record is from RNAcentral.
UAGGGAAUCUUUCGCAAUGGACGCAAGUCUGACGGAGCAACGCCGCGUGAGUGAAGAAGGAUUUCGGUUCGUAAAACUCUGUUGUUAGAGAAGAACAGCGCAUAGAGUAACUGUUAUGCGUGUGACGGUAUCUAACCAGAAAGCCACGGCUAACUACGUGCCAGCAGCCGCGGUAAUACGUAGGUGGCAAGCGUUGUCCGGAUUUAUUGGGCGUAAAGCGAGCGCAGGCGGUCAAUUAAGUCUGAUGUGAAAGCCCCCGGCUCAACCGGGGAGGGUCAUUGGAAACUGGUGGACUUGAGUGCAGAAGAGGAGAGUGAAAUUCCAUGUGUAGCGGUAAAAUGCGUAGAUAUAUGGAGGAACACCAGUGGCGAAGGCGACUCUCUGGUCUGUAACUGACGCUGAGGCUCGAAAGCGUGGGUAGAAAACAGG